ACCAAUACUUACUGAUUUUAAUUGUUCAUUGCUUAGUCAUGGUGAUUCUUUUAAUUAUUGAAUGCCAAUGAUAUUUUUUCUUAUAAAUGAUAAUGAGUAAUGGUUUGGGGUUUGGCUUGAAGCCUGAAACUUAAUUGAACUGAUUGUAUUUGCCCACCUAUCUGCAGUGGCUGAAGAUGAUGCUUCCUUGGUCAAGCAAAUUGGCCAGAGUUUCCAGUAUUCUAAAAUAGAGGCAAGAAGGGAGGAACAAAUCCAAGCUGCUCAUGACGAAGCCAUGUUUGGUACUUCAGCACUUCCACCUCCUACCAGUACUGACAGUGAUCCUGAAAGGGAGAAUGAGAAAGAAGUUGAUAAAAAAGCUGUUGUUACAAGUCUCUUAAGUGAAACGGAGUGCUGAAAUGGUGACCACAUGCUACUUUGAGGGCUCAAGAAUAUUUUGAUUUAUAGAGACACUAAUCUAUGUUAGAACUUUUAACUU
Arachis ipaensis is the source of this 478-nucleotide non-coding RNA. The record is from RefSeq and is a predicted model, not a curated record. NCBI's taxonomy places the organism in Eukaryota, Viridiplantae, Streptophyta, Magnoliopsida, Fabales, Fabaceae.